RNAcentral lists this ribosomal RNA (459 nucleotides) under uncultured Treponema sp. RNAcentral's name for it is "bacterial SSU rRNA". It matches the Rfam family "Bacterial small subunit ribosomal RNA", at positions 341 to 792 of the family's 1533-position model. Lineage: Bacteria; Pseudomonadati; Spirochaetota; Spirochaetia; Treponematales; Treponemataceae. The record is from RNAcentral.
ACGGGAGGCAGCAGCUAAGAAUAUUCCGCAAUGGGGGAAACCCCGACGGAGCGACGCCGCGUGGACGAGGAAGGCCGGAAGGUUGUAAAGUCCUUUUCUACGCGAGGAAGAGGCUGGGGAGGCAAUGCCCCGGCGGUGACGGAUACGUAGGAAUAAGCGCCGGCUAAUUACGUGCCAGCAGCCGCGGUAACACGUAAGGCGCGAGCGUUGUUCGGAUUUAUUGGGCGUAAAGGGCGCGUAGGCGGCCUGGAAGGCGGGGCGUGAAAUCACGGGGCCCAACCCCGUGGCCGCGCCCCGAACCGCUGGGCUAGGGUCGCCGAGGGGCAGCAGGAAUUCCAGGUGUAGGGGUGAAAUCUGUAGAUAUCUGGAAGAACACCGAUGGCGGAGGCGUGCUGCCGGCGGAUGACCGACGCUGAGGCGCGAAGGCGCGGGGAGCAAACAGGAUUAGAUACCCUGGUA